CUUUCCAUUGUGCUGGACUGGCAGCAAGGAGGUGAUGGAGAGACUCAGCCGGAGCUGGUGACCAGGUGCACGGAGACUGGCCUGCGAAACGACUUGUGGAGAGGCCACUCCGCCACCUGGGCUGCUCCUGCUGGACUCUUUCUUCAGAGACAAUAAACCUCCUUAUUUAAGCCAAAAGGCAUGAAGAGAUUCAUUUCUUUUCUCUGCUUCCUGCUUUGACAUGAAGCACAUGGCGGUGGGCUGGUGACCAGGAUGGGAAAGCGGGUGAAAGAAGAGUUGAAGAAAAUUUGGAGGUGGUGAAUCCCAGGAAGGUGGACCACAUCUUUCAGCAGACCCCACCAGCACUUUGCAUGAAAAAUGCUUCACACAAUUGAAAAAAGCUUCAGAGCUGCGCCUUGGCUACUGCAGGCUCUCUUUCUCUAGACACUGUGGGCAUGAUGUUCCAGCAGAAGUCCCAGAACUUGCAGACUGGUCCAACCUGUGUCAUGUGACCAGCCAAGACUCGAGCACUUGCUAGCCUUAUAUUGGGAGAAAUGUCUGAGCUGACCUGGAUGGAGAUCCAGGAAGAUGAGGGGAGGGGCUUCACCAGCCCUGCAGGAGGAAAGGCACAGUGGGUGGUGGAGCUGGAGACAGGAAAAAUACUACAGUGCCCUGGGCAUGCUUGUUUGUGAGAAAACUGCCUGAGGGGUAACUGGGCCCCCUCAUCCUUGUGGCUGAGCAGGGUUGUGCAUAAACCAAGAGGGGAACUUGGUUGAGUCAUGACUUCAUCCAGCCUUCUUGCUUGCUGGCUAGUAGUACGAGGAAAUAAAAAUUCUAAGUGACAAAGGCCUUAAGGAUGUUAUAUGCGAUGAAAAUGUGUAAUCAAGAAGGUGGACAAACAUGGAAAACAAUGGGAGAUGGAAAAGCAAUAGGAAGUCACACUGUAAAGUCCUCUAUAAUUAAAAAAAAUUUUGUUGACUUUUA
Molecule: long non-coding RNA, 963 nt
Organism: Nannospalax galili (Upper Galilee mountains blind mole rat)
Lineage: Eukaryota; Metazoa; Chordata; Mammalia; Rodentia; Spalacidae
Exons: 3
Source: RefSeq, a predicted model, not a curated record